GCACGUGCAGGGGCCAGUUGAGGAAGUCGACCCGAAGGCCACGGCAGGAGCGCUUCAUUUUGUACAGAAUUUCGGCAACACGGGACCUCAAGACCCAUUGGCCACGUCCUCCAUUGCAACCGAAACGUAUCGUCUUCAGUGAAUAGCAAAUGUGGUCAAGUGAUCUUCGUGGAAGCUCGUCAGGAUGAAAUCUCUAGAACACUCCCGAGGAGGGCGUCUGAGCCAGCACUGAAGUGGUGUCACUUCAAGGAUUGUCAUCGCCCUUUCUCGGCCGGUAUCAGAGAAUACGCUGUAGAGAAAGUCCCACUUGUUCGGAAAGCGGCUUUGAGGCGAACCCUUAAUCUAAAAUGUCAGGACUACAUUCUCUCCCUUCAGGAGCCACCAGCCCUGAUUCCUUCCGUGGGAACCUGGAAGAGACCUGCCUCGGCAAGGGGGGGCCACUGAGACCCCUCUCUGAGCCCCACGGGGGCAGAGCAGGCGCGACCCUCGGCUUCAAGUCGCUGGGAGCUACAACAGCACUUUCUGCAAAACACCGCCUGUCUGCACAGCCCCGUGAGGUGUCUCAAAGGCAACUUCCCAAACGCAUGGUCAACACUGACGCCGCCGCGGGACCACAGAGCAGCCAGAUAACCUUUUAACGUUCAAGGUCUGGACACUCAACCACAACCCAAGCAAACGGCCAAAAAGAAUACCCCAAAUGGUGUUCCUGGCGCGUGGGAUUCACCUGCGAAGAACGGGAGCUUACCGCGAAUUUCAAAGGUCUGUAAGCAUCAGAAUAAAAAUGGAAUUUUUUAAA
Molecule: long non-coding RNA, 796 nt
Organism: Panthera uncia (snow leopard)
Lineage: Eukaryota; Metazoa; Chordata; Mammalia; Carnivora; Felidae
Exons: 5
Source: RefSeq, a predicted model, not a curated record